CACUAGGAACGAAGGGGCGGGGCUAUGACGUUCCCGCACGUCCGGUAGUAGGCGGGGCCCUGUUGCCGGAGUAACCGGGCGUCGGUGUAGAGGUGGUGUCUCCUUGUGGCAAAGCUGCCUAUUUCCCCGCGCUGAGAUCCUGAGACUAUGAAUCAUGGUGAAAGGUUCGUUUUCAUUGCAGAGUGGUAUGAUCCAAAUGCUUCACUUUUUCGACGUUACGAGCUUUUAUUUUACCCAGGGGAUGGAUCUGUUGAAAUGCAUGAUGUAAAGAAUCACCGCACCUUUUUAAAGCGAACUAAAUAUGAUGAUCUUCACUUGGAAGAUUUAUUUAUAGGCAACAAAGUGAAUGUCUUUUCUCGACAACUGGUGCUAAUUGAUUAUGGGGAUCAAUAUACCGCUCGCCAACUGGGCAGUAGGAAAGAAAAAACAUUAGCUCUGAUUAAACCAGACGCAGUAUCAAAAGCUGGAGAAAUAAUUGAAAUGAUAAACAAAGCCGGAUUUACUAUAACCAAACUCAAAAUGAUGAUGCUUUCAAGGAAAGAAGCAACAGAUUUUCAUAUAGAUCAUCAGUCAAGGCCCUUUUUAAAUGAGCUUAUCCAGUUUAUUACAAGUGGUCCUACUAUUGCCAUGGAGAUUUUAAGAGAUGAUGCUAUAUGUGAGUGGAAAAGGCUACUUGGACCCGCGAACUCUGGUAUGGCACGUACAGAUGCUCCUGGAAGCCUGAGAGCCCUCUUUGGAACAGACGGCAUAAGAAAUGCAGCUCAUGGCCCUGAUUCUUUUGCUUCUGCUGCCAGAGAAAUGGAGUUAUUUUUUCCUUCAAGUGGAGUUUGUGGACCAGCAAACACCGCUAAAUUUACCAAUUGUACCUGUUGCAUUAUUAAACCCCAUGCCAUCAGUGAAGGACUGCUAGGAAAGAUCCUCAUGGCUAUCCGGGAUGCAGGUUUUGAAAUCUCAGCUAUGCAGAUGUUCAACAUGGAUCGAGUUAAUGUUGAGGAGUUUUAUGAAGUUUAUAAAGGAGUAGUAUCUGAGUAUAACGAGAUGGUGACAGAAAUGUAUUCUGGCCCUUGUGUAGCAAUGGAGAUUCAACAAAAUAAUCCUACAAAGACAUUUCGAGAAUUCUGUGGACCUGCUGAUCCUGAAAUUGCCCGGCAUUUACGCCCUGGAACCCUCAGAGCAAUCUUUGGUAAAACUAAGAUCCAGAAUGCCGUUCACUGUACUGAUCUACCGGAUGAUGGCCUCUUAGAGAAGCACCACCAAGAAUUCUGUGAGCCAAUUGCUGGACUAAUGAAGCAUAUCUACUGAUUGGGAAUUAAAUGAAAACAAAGAUUUUCUUUAUAAGCCAAACUUCUCUACAUACCACAUCCGAAUAAGUUCCUGGAAUGUCUCAGUACUAAAACCCUAGAGGUUCAGUAUUUCUUCAAGAUCUUGGAUAACUAGCAGUACAGAAAGCAAAGAAGUCACAAGCUGCGGCAUUCAGACGAGAGUGAAUCACGCACAUGAGGAUGUGUUCAUUCUUUUAUUGUCCAUUGUUUUAACCUGACUGAAUACAAGAUCAACAAGAGCACUGUACUCCUGGCAAUUAUUAUAUAUGUUAGAACAUGGAUUUUGCACUGUAGACAACAUUUAACACCAGUCUAUGGGGUACUGCAUUGCUUUUUAUAAAGUCCAAAAUAAAGAUUUAUUUUCAAACAA
RNA transcript from Canis lupus familiaris (dog), 1692 nucleotides. It is a transcript of the gene named NME/NM23 family member 7, with no coding region annotated. The record is from RefSeq and is a predicted model, not a curated record. Lineage: Eukaryota; Metazoa; Chordata; Mammalia; Carnivora; Canidae. The transcript has 13 exons.